This 368-nucleotide ribosomal RNA is filed under the name uncultured organism. RNAcentral describes it as "bacterial SSU rRNA". It matches the Rfam family "Bacterial small subunit ribosomal RNA", at positions 526 to 896 of the family's 1533-position model. The record is from RNAcentral.
CGGAGGGUGCAAGCGUUAUCCGGAUUUACUGGGUUUAAAGGGUGUGUAGGCGGGUCUUUAAGUCAGUGGUGAAAUCUCCGAGCUCAACUUGGAAACUGCCAUUGAUACUAUUGAUCUUGAAUUCUGUUGAGGUGGGCGGAAUAAGUCAUGUAGCGGUGAAAUGCAUAGAUAUGACUUAGAACCCCGAUUGCGAAGGCAGCUCACUAAGCAGAUAUUGACGCUGAGGCACGAAAGCGUGGGGAUCAAACAGGAUUAGAUACCCUGGUAGUCCACGCCCUAAACGAUGAUUACUCGACAUACGCGAUACACAGUGUGUGUCUGAGCGAAAGCAUUAAGUAUCCCACCUGGGAAGUACGACCGCAAGGUUG